AAAUUCUGAAAUACUUCAUUCACUGUCUUCAGCAUGGCUAGCAGGUACAAGAGUACCGACUGCAGCAGAGCCGGUACUCCACAGAGGGUCAAAGCAGGGCCUUGCGAUGUACAGCGGCAUUACAAAUCUACUAGACAAAUGGCAUGGAUUUCGACAGCAAGGAGCGCCCUCUUCAUCUCACUCAAAGCCCUCCGUCGGAGGCCUUUGAGGGAGAAGGAGAGGAAAGUCCUUGAAGAGCCCCCUCCACUUCCUCUACAUGCCAUGCUUCUUGUGUUGAAAGGAGACCAUGCAAAUGCCUGGGUUUAAAUAGGCCACAGAGGAUGCAAAAUAGGUAUCACCAAACCAGCUGGGUCAUCUCUUGCAAUCACUGUCAGAGGUGGUUAUAUUCUUUCUCAUCUUCUUUUCCCAGUUGCAACAACCUGGAGUCUUUUACUUUGGGAGUCUGGACUUUUGGGCAACACCAAGGGAUGCUACGUGGCGCCAGCGAUCUGAAAUGUGAUACUGAAUAUAUGCUUCACCAUUUCUUUACAGCACCCUGUAAGACAUGACUUCUGUUAAACUACAGCAAAUAAUAUGGCGAGUGCAAG
This 587-nucleotide long non-coding RNA is filed under the name Triticum aestivum (bread wheat). RNAcentral's name for it is "long non-coding RNA (TAES_LNC014602)". The record is from RNAcentral. Lineage: Eukaryota; Viridiplantae; Streptophyta; Magnoliopsida; Poales; Poaceae.